AUCCAUUGUGUAGUGAUUCAGAAUUUCCCAUGAAAUGUACAAUGGUUUCCAGUAGCGGUUUACUACUUAAAAAAUUACCAUUAAUACUUACAAGUAAAAGUGUUUAAAUGCAAUUCGGGCACUGCAUUCCAGUUAGGCCUUGGCGAUCACCAACCAACACAUCUUUUUCUAGAAAAUGCUUCGCACAAAUUCGAAAUUUUUUGUGUAUUUCAUAAUGAGGCACGUUCUUUAGUACAGGGUUAUUUAUAAGAGACUGCCAUUUCAAAAACAUUUGAGGGCUUUUCUCAGGGUUUGAGAAGCAAAACUGCCUACUCUACUUGACAUCACAAUUUGGGACGGCACACUUCUUUCCCGACCGGGUUUUUUCACCAAAGAACACUUCAGACAUAUUUAAUAUUAAUUUUUGUUUCACGAAACAAUAAAAAGAGAAAACAAAAUUCACUAAAAACAUAUACAUUUUUAAAUCCAAAAACUCGCACGACGCACAACAAACGCAACUCGAAGAACCGCUUCGUUUAGUCAAUUUUGAAAUUUUUAUUUUGUAUCUGCCUUCGACCGGGUGGCGCCACCUUGUAUUAAAAUCCGUUAAAAUAUCGACCGCAGCGCCUAGAAACUCGCGUAAACACUGACUAUGUCUUUCUUUGUCUAACUUACUACCAGUAGCUUCCAUUCCACUUAUUUUUCUAGAAGCGGAUAUUUUGUGGGGACCAUUAGAAAUGUUUUAGUGCAUUCUAAAACGGAUUUAGAUUACUAAUUAAUUGUGAAGAAAAUUAGUGUUGCAUGGUGUUAUGUAUAAUAAAAAGACAAUAUGAUCCUGGUUGUGUAGAUGACGAAGUUGAACGAGCUGUACUUACUUUGCAAGAUACUUUAGAUGCUACCACUAGUGACACUAAGGUCAAUUGUUAUGAUCUUGGCCUCGAAACGAACGUUUACUUAACAGCAGAAAACAUUUUAGGAUAUUCAAAAGAGAAAGAAAAAUGAAAUUGACUUUAAACGUGAAGAAGAACUUUAACAGACAGUACUAUUUAUCCUUAUGCAAAAAGAUGUUCCUUUUCACCCUAGGAUCAUGAGAGUGGCAGUGACAGAAGACCGCACUGUUAUCAGCUUGAGGGCUUUAAAAGACAAACCCCAAAAUUUUUUUUCUUAAAUAAAUUUUAAUAUUGAGUAUCAAGCACUGCCUCAAAGAACAAAUCCGCAUCUCAAUAAUAAUGAAUACGAACAACUUCAUAUUCAAAAGAUAUUUGAUUUAAUCACCUUUAGCAGCUAAGCCAGUGAUACCUGCAGACUGUUGCUUGUUUUAUAGCAAUUUAAUUUUUCAACAACUUUCUCUGUGUUUUUAGAACUAAUUUCUUUGUAGAAGAACACAUUAGUUUAGUUUUGUAAAUUUUUAUUGUCUUGUAUUUAAAAUACAUGCCAAAUACUAAAUA
Long non-coding RNA from Anthonomus grandis grandis, 1427 nucleotides. RefSeq lists it as uncharacterized. The record is from RefSeq and is a predicted model, not a curated record. The transcript has 2 exons. Lineage: Eukaryota; Metazoa; Arthropoda; Insecta; Coleoptera; Curculionidae.